AGAGAUGUGUGAUGACGCAUAUCAAUAAGCGGAGGAAAAGAAACUAACAAGGAUUCCCCUAGUAACGGCGAGUGAAGCGGGAAGAGCUCAAAUUUGAAAUCUUAAAGGGUUUCCCUUUACGAAUUGUAGUUUAAAGAAGUGUUUUCUGUUGGAGUUUCGGUAAAAGUUCUUUGGAAUAGGACAUCAUAGAGGGUGAGAAUCCCGUAUUUGACCGUUACUUUCCAGCUGUGUGAUACACUUUCAAAGAGUCGGAUUGUUUGGGAAUGCAGUCCAAAAUGGGUGGUAAAUUUCAUCUAAAGCUAAAUAUUGGCGAGAGACCGAUAGCGAACAAGUACCGUGAGGGAAAGAUGAAAAGAACUUUGAAAAGAGAGUUAAACAGUACGUGAAAUUGUCAAAAGGGAAGCGUUUGACACCAGUGUUGUUUAGUUGAAAAUCAAUUAAAUAUUUUACGAUUUUAAGUAGUAUUGACCUUAUCAGCUUGCUGCUUUUUUUCGGAAAUUAUUUAAUGCACUUUUCAGUUAACAAGUCAACAUCAAUUUCUUUUGUUGUAAAAAGGUAAGAGGAAGGUGGCUUGCGCUUCGGCUCAAGUGUUUAUAGCCUUUUACCCCUGCAAUCGGAGAGAUUGAGGUCUGCAGCGUAGAUCCUUCGGGGUUAGAUACAUUUGUGCUAAGCUAUAGCCUUGUAUAGACAACUUGUUGACUAUGCUCAGUCAUGUAGCUUACUCGCUUAUGCUAUUUUACCUACGCUUAAGAUGUUGAUAGUCACAGCGUGUAC
Molecule: ribosomal RNA, 774 nt
Filed under: uncultured Neocallimastigales
Lineage: Eukaryota; Fungi; Neocallimastigomycota; Neocallimastigomycetes; Neocallimastigales
Description: partial large subunit ribosomal RNA
Rfam family: Eukaryotic large subunit ribosomal RNA
Source: RNAcentral